GAGCCGGCUCCGGCCUCAGCUGGCCCAGAGAGGGGCUCCCUCAGUGCAGUGGCGAGCUGAAGGGCUCCUCAAGGGCGGCUGGAGUGGACGCUGAGGCCGAGGAGACGCCAAGAGCAAACGAGGGCUGCUAGUACAUUGUCACCUCUCACUGGUAACUACAGUUGCUGUCAGUUUAACUCUCAUGGUAGGGAGAACCCCCACAAGGAGACUGCACUUCAAAGUCCCUCCUGGAUCCCAUUCAGAUCCAAAACUGAGCACCUGCUCUGUGCCAAGAAAUGCUCUAUGGAAAUGAAUCAGUUCCCACCAUCCAGGAGGUCACAGCCUGCUCAGAUGCAAAAGAACUCCAUGCAGGCUAAGCCUUCUUCCCACCAACAUGGAUUGUGCUGAAAGAUGGCAAAUACUUGUAUGCUGACAGUUUUCUACAGCUUAAGACCCGGUUCUUGAUGGGAGAAAAAUAAACAUCAUCAGCUGCUUCCUUCCUAAUAACCAUACUAUUUUAAGGGAACUUGAGAUUUUGUUUAUAAACUACACUGAUGGUUAUGUAACCAAUGAGAUCUAUAUUUCUGGCACAUUUCCUUUCAUACAGACUCAAUUAAAAUUUUCAGCCCUCAUAGUAAUCUUUACAUUUUGUGGUUUACUUGACAACCUGGUGAACCUUGACAUUUACCUGAAAGUCAGAUAUGCGUUUUAAGGUAUCAGGAGAAAAAGAGUUUUCUUCUGAGGUAAAGGAGGCAGUGUGA
This 740-nucleotide long non-coding RNA is filed under the name Homo sapiens (human). Its description in RNAcentral is "HSALNT0332540". Lineage: Eukaryota; Metazoa; Chordata; Mammalia; Primates; Hominidae. The record is from RNAcentral.